This 450-nucleotide ribosomal RNA is filed under the name uncultured bacterium. Its description in RNAcentral is "partial 16S ribosomal RNA". It matches the Rfam family "Bacterial small subunit ribosomal RNA", at positions 354 to 796 of the family's 1533-position model. The record is from RNAcentral.
GUGGGGAAUCUUCCGCAAUGGACGAAAGUCUGACGGAGCAACGCCGCGUGAGUGAAGAAGGCCUUCGGGUCGUAAAGCUCUGUCAUCAGGGACGAACGGCCGGUGGAGUGGAAAGCCACCGGAUUGACGGUACCUGAGAAGGAAGCCACGGCUAACUACGUGCCAGCAGCCGCGGUAAUACGUAGGUGGCAAGCGUUGUCCGGAAUUAUUGGGCGGAAAGCGCGCGCAGGUGGGAUCUUAAGUCCAUUUUUAAAGUUCGGAACUCAACACCUUGAUGGGAUAGAAACUGUGAUUCUUGAGUACCGGAGAGGAAAGCGGAAUUCCCCGUGUAGCGGUGAAAUGCGUAGAUAUGGGGAGGAACACCAGUGGCGAAGGCGGCUUUCUGGACGGUGUCUGACACUGAGGCGCGAAAGCCAGGGGAGCGAACGGGAUUAGAUACCCGUGUAGUCC